This 229-nucleotide ribosomal RNA is filed under the name uncultured Enterobacterales bacterium. Its description in RNAcentral is "partial 16S ribosomal RNA". It matches the Rfam family "Bacterial small subunit ribosomal RNA", at positions 102 to 334 of the family's 1533-position model. Lineage: Bacteria; Pseudomonadati; Pseudomonadota; Gammaproteobacteria; Enterobacterales. The record is from RNAcentral.
ACGGGUGAGUAAUGUCUGGGAAACUGCCUGAUGGAGGGGGAUAACUACUGGAAACGGUAGCUAAUACCGCAUAACGUCGCAAGACCAAAGAGGGGGACCUUCGGGCCUCUUGCCAUCAGAUGUGCCCAGAUGGGAUUAGCUUGUUGGUGGGGUAACGGCUCACCAAGGCGACGAUCCCUAGCUGGUCUGAGAGGAUGACCAGCCACACUGGAACUGAGACACGGUCCAG